AUUGAACGCUGGCGGCAGGCCUAACACAUGCAAGUCGAACGGUAACAGGAAACAGCUUGCUGUUUCGCUGACGAGUGGCGGACGGGUGAGUAAUGUCUGGGAAACUGCCUGAUGGAGGGGGAUAACUACUGGAAACGGUAGCUAAUACCGCAUAACGACGCAAGACCAAAGAGGGGGACCUUCGGGCCUCUUGCCAUCGGAUUGGCCCAGAUGGGAUUAGCUUGUUGGUGGGGUAACGGCUCACCAAGGCGACGAUCCCUAGCUGGUCUGAGAGGAUGACCAGCCACACUGGAACUGAGACACGGUCCAGACUCCUACGGGAGGCAGCAGUGGGGAAUAUUGCACAAUGGGCGCAAGCCUGAUGCAGCCAUGCCGCGUGUAUGAAGAAGGCCUUCGGGUUGUAAAGUACUUUCAGCGGGGAGGAAGGGAGUAAAGUUAAUACCUUUACUCAUUGACGUUACCCGCAGAAGAAGCACCGGCUAACUCCGUGCCAGCAGCCGCAGUAA
This 506-nucleotide ribosomal RNA is filed under the name uncultured bacterium. RNAcentral describes it as "partial 16S ribosomal RNA". It matches the Rfam family "Bacterial small subunit ribosomal RNA", at positions 30 to 523 of the family's 1533-position model. The record is from RNAcentral.